Molecule: long non-coding RNA, 153 nt
Filed under: Cyanistes caeruleus (blue tit)
Lineage: Eukaryota; Metazoa; Chordata; Aves; Passeriformes; Paridae
Description: lncRNA (ENSCCEG00000023593.1)
Source: RNAcentral
CCUGGACAGCCAGGGCUUGUCCUCUGGCCCAUGCUGCUCCUGCUGCGGCAGGGCUCAGGGCUGCCCACCAAAGCGUGUCCUCAAAGCAUGAAAGCAACUCAUUUCAGGAUGGAACAGUGCUGGUGCCAGUCCUGGUGCCACAGACUGCCUCCU